Molecule: ribosomal RNA, 384 nt
Filed under: uncultured bacterium
Lineage: Bacteria
Description: bacterial SSU rRNA
Rfam family: Bacterial small subunit ribosomal RNA
Source: RNAcentral
AUUGAACGCUGGCGGAAUGCUUUACACAUGCAAGUUGAACGGCAGCACGGGGCAACCUGGUGGCGAGUGGCGAACGGGUGAGUAAUAUAUCGGAACGUGCCCAAUCGUGGGGGAUAACGUAGCGAAAGUUACGCUAAUACCGCAUACGAUCUACGGAUGAAAGCGGGGGAUCGCAAGACCUCGCGCGAAUGGAGCGGCCGAUAUCAGAUUAGGUAGUUGGUGGGGUAAAGGCUCACCAAGCCAACGAUCUGUAGCUGGUCUGAGAGGACGACCAGCCACACUGGAACUGAGACACGGUCCAGACUCCUACGGAGGCAGCAGUGGGGAAUUUUGGGACAAUGGCGCAAGCCUGACUACGACGCUACUUCCGCGUCGACGAAGGUA